AUCUGCCUAUUAAUGGGGGACAACAUCUCGAAAGGGAUGCUAAUACCGCAUACGCCCUACGGGGGAAAGCAGGGGAUCACUUGUGACCUUGCGUUAAUAGAUGAGCCUAAGUCGGAUUAGCUAGUUGGUGGGGUAAAGGCCUACCAAGGCGACGAUCUGUAGCGGGUCUGAGAGGAUGAUCCGCCACACUGGGACUGAGACACGGCCCAGACUCCUACGGGAGGCAGCAGUGGGGAAUAUUGGACAAUGGGGGGAACCCUGAUCCAGCCAUGCCGCGUGUGUGAAGAAGGCCUUAUGGUUGUAAAGCACUUUAAGCGAGGAGGAGGAGCUCUAGGCUAAUAUCCUAGAAGCUUGGACGUUACUCGCAGAAUAAGCACCGGCUAACUCUGUGCCAGCAGCCGCGGUAAUACAGAGGGUGCGAGCGUUAAUCGGAUUUACUGGGCGUAAAGCGUACGUAGGCGGCUUAUUAAGUCGGAUGUGAAAUCCCUGAGCUUAACUUAGGAAUUGCAUUCGAUACUGGUGAGCUAGAGUAUGGGAGAGGAUGGUAGAAUUCCAGGUGUAGCGGUGAAAUGCGUAGAGAUCUGGAGGAAUACCGAUGGCGAAGGCAGCCAUCUGGCCUAAUACUGACGC
RNAcentral lists this ribosomal RNA (630 nucleotides) under Acinetobacter guillouiae. RNAcentral describes it as "bacterial SSU rRNA". It matches the Rfam family "Bacterial small subunit ribosomal RNA", at positions 124 to 746 of the family's 1533-position model. Lineage: Bacteria; Pseudomonadati; Pseudomonadota; Gammaproteobacteria; Moraxellales; Moraxellaceae. The record is from RNAcentral.